RNAcentral lists this ribosomal RNA (497 nucleotides) under uncultured bacterium. RNAcentral's name for it is "partial 16S ribosomal RNA". It matches the Rfam family "Bacterial small subunit ribosomal RNA", at positions 28 to 507 of the family's 1533-position model. The record is from RNAcentral.
GAUGAACGCUGGCGGCGUGCCUAAUACAUGCAAGUAGAACGCUGAAGGAAGGAGCUUGCUCUUUCCGGAUGAGUUGCGAACGGGUGAGUAACGCGUAGGUAACCUGCCUGGUAGCGGGGGAUAACUAUUGGAAACGAUAGCUAAUACCGCAUAACAGUAGAUGUUGCAUGAUAUCUACUUAAAAGGUGCAAUUGCACCACUACCAGAUGGACCUGCGUUGUAUUAGCUAGUUGGUGAGGUAACGGCUCACCAAGGCGACGAUACAUAGCCGACCUGAGAGGGUGAUCGGCCACACUGGGACUGAGACACGGCCCAGACUCCUACGGGAGGCAGCAGUAGGGAAUCUUCGGCAAUGGACGGAAGUCUGACCGAGCAACGCCGCGUGAGUGAAGAAGGUUUUCGAAUCGUAAAGCUCUGUUGUAAGAGAAGAACGAGUGUGAGAGUGGGAAGUUCACACUGUGACGGUAUCUUACCAGAAAGGGACGGCUAACUACGUG